UGAGAACGAAGUCAUUCUUAGUGUUCAG
This 28-nucleotide non-coding RNA is filed under the name Mus musculus (house mouse). Lineage: Eukaryota; Metazoa; Chordata; Mammalia; Rodentia; Muridae. The record is from RNAcentral.